ACUCUUUUAAUAUAAUUAAUAUUCUUAGUUUCGAACUAAGCUUUCCUGUAUAGGGAAGAGUA
Molecule: transfer RNA, 62 nt
Filed under: Pessoaiella absita
Lineage: Eukaryota; Metazoa; Arthropoda; Insecta; Psocodea; Philopteridae
Description: tRNA-Arg
Source: RNAcentral